AUUGAACGCUGGCGGCAUGCCUUACACAUGCAAGUCGAACGGCAGCACGGGUGCUUGCACCUGGUGGCGAGUGGCGAACGGGUGAGUAAUACAUCGGAAUGUACCUUGUAGUGGGGGAUAGCUCGGCGAAAGCCGGAUUAAUACCGCAUACGCUCUGAGGAGGAAAGCGGGGGACCUUCGGGCCUACGUGCUACAAGAGCAGCCGAUGUCAGAUUAGCUUGUUGGUGAGGUAAAAGCUCACCAAGGCGACGAUCUGUAGCUGGUCUGAGAGGACGACCAGCCACACUGGGACUGAGACACGGCCCAGACUCCUACGGGAGGCAGCAGUGGGGAAUUUUGGACAAUGGGCGAAAGCCUGAUCCAGCAAUGCCGCGUGUGUGAAGAA
This 385-nucleotide ribosomal RNA is filed under the name uncultured Pandoraea sp. RNAcentral describes it as "bacterial SSU rRNA". It matches the Rfam family "Bacterial small subunit ribosomal RNA", at positions 30 to 412 of the family's 1533-position model. Lineage: Bacteria; Pseudomonadati; Pseudomonadota; Betaproteobacteria; Burkholderiales; Burkholderiaceae. The record is from RNAcentral.